RNAcentral lists this transfer RNA (67 nucleotides) under Nipponacmea sp. JM-2022. RNAcentral's name for it is "tRNA-Trp". Lineage: Eukaryota; Metazoa; Mollusca; Gastropoda; Lottiidae. The record is from RNAcentral.
AGGGACUUAGGUUAAAUUAAACCCGGAGUCUUCAAAACUCCUAUUAGAGCCAGAGCUUUAGUCCUUG